This 1302-nucleotide unclassified non-coding RNA is filed under the name Hevea brasiliensis (rubber tree). Lineage: Eukaryota; Viridiplantae; Streptophyta; Magnoliopsida; Malpighiales; Euphorbiaceae. The record is from RNAcentral.
GAAAUAUAUACAGCUGCCCAUGAGCAGUGACAGCCAUACAGAUUAAACAUUAACACAUAAAAACAACAAUAACAAACAAUUUCACCGUUUCAUCUUUCUGUAUAUUACCAAUUCAGCUUUUUUAUACUAUCAAAGAGCCAAAGAGAUUCUCUCCUUCAGCUCCACAUAUAAUAUCAUAAAAACAAAUGAUAACAAUAAUAAUGAUAAAAAUAAUAGCAAUUAUACUUUCAAGUUCAAAAACUAUAUUCAGUUCAAUUACCUUAAAAAAUGAAAAUAAACAAAAAAAAGUAGUAAAAAAAAAAAGGAGAAAAAAAGGUUAAUUCAGCCAUUAAUUAAUCAUGUGAAACCCAACCUUCUCUUCUUCCAGAAACUCAACUCUGGAUCAAGCUUCUCUCCUGUUCUCGCUGGUUCUGAUUUGCACCUUGUGAGUAUCAAAGGAUGUACAGUGCCAUCUUCCUCUGUUCUUAAUUCUUCAAUUUUUGCAGGGUUCAUUGUCCUUUCUCUAAUUGAAGUAACUGGACCUUCAAAUCCUUUGAAAAAACUUAACUUUUCUUCAGUUUGUGGAUCUAAUCUUGUUUCUUGAUUAGAUUCUCUAUAAACAGACUCCCUUUUUGAUGUGGGACUGUCUUCUUGUGUAUUCUCUUGCUCUGGACUCCGUUUUUGCUCAGUUUCUUCACUUUCCAAAGGUGAGCCCCAAAAUCUACUAGCUAAAGAAGAAGACCUGUAUGGCGCAGAUCUGCUUCUCGUCAAUAAUAAAGCGUUCUUUGGUGGUGAAAUAACUGUAGAAACAUAUGCCUCUUCUUCCUCUUGACUUUCUUGCUCUAAGUCUUCACUUCUGUUGACGAAUUUCGGUCCAACCUUUGAAGAAUCCUCCCUAAUUUUGCUUUUUCUGUUAAAACCCACCUUUAAAAACAUUACCCAGUUGCUCCAUGAAGGCAUACAACACUUGGGUUUGAGCUUCAUUUUUGAACGAUGAUGGCAAAACAAGGUGUUUCGGAUCCAUUUACAGUAGCGUUUGGCUUUACCGGGUCGGGUCUUGUCUUGCUUGGACCGCUUGAUUCUAACCUGUCCCAUGCAGGUGACUUUAGGAGAAGAAGGCUCUUGGGUUUCAAUGGCGGCGUUCUUCUUCCUAACGAACAUAGGGCUUGAACGUGACUUGCCUCUACUUCUGCUACCACCAUUGCUCCUCAAAAAUCUCAUCAAUGGCGGCGGGUACUUCUCGGUCCGACCCGGACUCGAUAUGGGUUUUGUAGAUAGCUUCAUCUCUUCCAACUCGCUCUCCCUCUCUCUCUCUCUUUCUUG